CCUGGGGGUUAUUGUCAGGACUGUACAGGUCUCCAGGCUUCUGACCCCGCUGGUCCAUGCUAUAAUAUUUACAAUGAUUCCACUGGACCAUGGAUGUGUUCUGGGGAGGUUGGGGUCCAUUAGGGACAUUCAGCUGCAUGACCACCACACCUGGUCCGGAAGGUGACACUCCUGAGUAGCAGGAAAAAAGUAGUUGAUUGAGAAUUCAAACUAUAUUUUCGCCUUCCAGUUAUCCCUGAGUGGGAAAGCCUGUAAGCAAAUCCACCUGCUCACUUACGGUCACUCAAAACCAUGUCCCACCACAAAUCUGUUAUGGUUGCUGAUUUGGAAGAUGAGUCCCAGAUGCCACCAAUGCUCUCCUGGUCUUCACCUGGUAACAGGCACUCUCACAUGUUUGGCAGAAAAAAUACUCCAUUCUAUCAAAGCUGGGCAUUAACAAAUACCAAGGUCAGAUUGCUCAAAUACAGGUGGUGGUCUGGUGGAUCAGCCAGGUCUGCAAACACAUGCAAACUUUCCUGGUAAGGGCUACAGAUAAGUCAGUGAUCUCUGACUCUUCUGGAGAUGUAUAUAGUUUCAUGAAGCCAGACUUAGGAAGUGUCCUGGCCAGUGGUGAGGUGAGCUGAGAAACAUUUCAAACAGAAGAAAUGGCAUAGUGAUACAUGUCAUAUUUGGGAAAUGACAAAUGAUUCGAGGUGCUAAGACACAAGGCCUAUGCAGAGAAAUUAAAAGAUUCUAUCAAAUGUUUAUUGUGUGCCAGUCCUUAUGCUGGGCACUCAGUGUACAACAAAAAAGCCCAGUCUCUGCCGUCACAGAAUGGACAGUUUAUUAAGAAGUUAGACAUUAAACACAUAGUUGAUGCCAGCCAGGUGUGGUAGCGCAUGCCUGUAAUCCCAGCACUCUGGAGGCUGAGGCACGAGGAUCAAAGCAAGUUUGAGGCCAGCCUGGGCUACAUAGUGAGACCCUGUCUCAAAAAACAAAACAAAACAAAGCAAAACAACACAAAUAGCUGAUUUCAGAGUGGGAAGUACAUUCUCAUAAGAUGUUUGCAUGUUUAUCCUGAAAAUGCUGGGAUAUGACUGGUGGAGAGAGAACCCACAUGGCCAAAUGCAGGUUAGUGAAGGGAGGGAGACUAGUGGCAGGGAGAACAUUCAGGAAGCUCCUGAAAGAGAUGAGGUUUUGAAUGAAGGCAAUGCCAGAGGACAAUGGGAGGGGCAGAUACUCUGAAGGUUACACCAACAGGUGACGGACAGAAUGCAACCCUAAGGUUUAGGGGUAACCAUGGUUAGCCACAUCCACUCACAGGAUAGAGAAAGGGAAGGACACAAUGAAGUAGAAUACUGAUUUUAAAUCUUCCUCAAGAUAAAAGGCCAAGUAAAAGGGCCAGGGAUUUAGCUCAGUGGCACCGCACCUGCCUUGCAAGCACAAGGUCCUGAGUUGAUCCCCAGUACCAAAAAAAAAAAAGGCCAAGUAAGAAAUCAGGCAGAAGCAGCUUUUUUUUUUUUUGGUACUGGGGAUCGAACUCGGGUCCUUGCACUUGUGGGGCAGGCAGCAGAACCACUGAGCUAAAUCCCCAGCCCAGGCAGAAGCAGUUUGAUGGACAGUCCCUGCUAUGAGGGAUAGGUAGGAAUUCUGCCUCCUCACAUGAGACUGUCUAGAUUGAGAUUUUACUCUUGACCUCCCCCAUCUAUAUCCCUUUUGAGACUGAGUUUGUGUGUGUGGAGGUAGAGAAGUGGGAGCUGGGGGUUACUGGCUUGAAAACUUGCUGCAAUGCUGGUGUUUUCAUGGCCUGGUGCUCUAGGGCUACCACCACAUUGCUUCCUGUGAUGGGAAAUGUGCAGCCCUGGGCACUAGUCAUGCUGGGAGGUGAGUGUGAUUGCUUUUCUUAGGUAGCAUCAGUCAACAGAAAGGAAAAAAAAUGGCAGGAAGUCUGAGAGCGGAGUUUAGGAGACACAACAUCUGUCAGAUCCUAUUCCCAGGCCAAUUUGUGCCCCUCAUCCUCUAGGGCUCAUCCAAUC
This 2015-nucleotide long non-coding RNA is filed under the name Heterocephalus glaber (naked mole-rat). Its description in RNAcentral is "lncRNA (ENSHGLG00000039618.1)". The record is from RNAcentral. Lineage: Eukaryota; Metazoa; Chordata; Mammalia; Rodentia; Bathyergidae.